RNAcentral lists this unclassified non-coding RNA (306 nucleotides) under plant metagenome. RNAcentral's name for it is "partial contains 5.8S ribosomal RNA, internal transcribed spacer 2, and large subunit ribosomal RNA". The stretch from base 1 to 105 matches the Rfam family "5.8S ribosomal RNA", at positions 50 to 154 of the family's 154-position model. The record is from RNAcentral.
GAAAUGCGAUAAGUAAUGUGAAUUGCAGAAUUCAGUGAAUCAUCGAAUCUUUGAACGCACAUUGCGCCCGCCAGUAUUCUGGCGAGCAUGCCUGUCCGAGCGUCAUUUCAACCAUCAAGCCCCCGGGCUUGUGUUGGGGACCUGCGGCUGCCCGCAGGCCCUGAAAACCAGUGGCGGGCUCGCUGUCACACCGAGCGUAGUAGCAAUCACCUCGCUCAGGGCGUGCUGCGGGUUCCGGCCGUUAAACAGCCUUACAAAACCCAAGGUUGACCUCGGAUCAGGUAGGAAGACCCGCUGAACUUAAGC